AACGAACGCUGGCGGCAUGCCUAACACAUGCAAGUCGAACGAGACCUUCGGGUCUAGUGGCGCACGGGUGCGUACCGCGUGGGAACCUGCCCUUAGGUUAGGAAUAACUCCCCGAAAGGGGUGCUAAUACCGGAUAAUGUCUUCGGACCAAAGAUUUAUCGCCGUUGGAUGGGCCCGCGUUGGAUUAGCUAGUUGGUAGGGUAAAAGCCUACCAAGGCGACGAUCCAUAGCUGGUCUGAGAGGAUGCUCAGCCACACUGGGACUGAGACACGGCCCAGACUCCUACGCGAGGGAGCAGUGGAGAAUAUAGUACAAUGGGCGCAAGCCUGACCCAGCAACGCCGCGUGAGUGAUGAAGGCGUUAGGGUUGUAAAGCUCUUUUACCCGGGAUGAUAAUGACAGUACCGGGAGAAUAAGCACCGGCUAACUCCGUG
This 433-nucleotide ribosomal RNA is filed under the name uncultured bacterium. RNAcentral describes it as "partial 16S ribosomal RNA". It matches the Rfam family "Bacterial small subunit ribosomal RNA", at positions 29 to 507 of the family's 1533-position model. The record is from RNAcentral.